RNAcentral lists this transfer RNA (65 nucleotides) under Escherichia coli. RNAcentral's name for it is "tRNA-Met". It matches the Rfam family "tRNA", at positions 13 to 71 of the family's 71-position model. Rfam says of the family: Transfer RNA (tRNA) molecules are approximately 80 nucleotides in length. Their secondary structure includes four short double-helical elements and three loops (D, anti-codon, and T loops). Further hydrogen bonds mediate the characteristic L-shaped molecular structure. tRNAs have two regions of fundamental functional importance: the anti-codon, which is responsible for specific mRNA codon recognition, and the 3' end, to which the tRNAs corresponding amino acid is attached (by aminoacyl-tRNA synthetases). tRNAs cope with the degeneracy of the genetic code in two manners: having more than one tRNA (with a specific anti-codon) for a particular amino acid; and 'wobble' base-pairing, i.e. permitting non-standard base-pairing at the 3rd anti-codon position. The record is from RNAcentral. Lineage: Bacteria; Pseudomonadati; Pseudomonadota; Gammaproteobacteria; Enterobacterales; Enterobacteriaceae.
CAGCCUGGUAGCUCGUCGGGCUCAUAACCCGAAGGUCGUCGGUUCAAAUCCGGCCCCCGCAACCA